RNAcentral lists this ribosomal RNA (449 nucleotides) under uncultured bacterium. RNAcentral's name for it is "partial 16S ribosomal RNA". It matches the Rfam family "Bacterial small subunit ribosomal RNA", at positions 29 to 523 of the family's 1533-position model. The record is from RNAcentral.
AACGAACGCUGGCGGCAGGCUUAACACAUGCAAGUCGAACGAGAUCUUCGGAUCUAGUGGCGGACGGGUGAGGAACACGUGGGAACAUCCCUUUCAGUUCGGAAUAACGUUGGGAAACUAACGCUAAUACCGGAUACGUCCUUCGGGAGAAAGAUUUAUCGCUGAAAGAUUGGCCCGCGUCUGAUUAGCUAGUUGGUGAGGUAACGGCUCACCAAGGCUACGAUCAGUAGCUGAUCUGAGAGGAUGAUCAGCCACAUUGGGACUGAGACACGGCCCAAACUCCUACGGGAGGCAGCAGUGGGGAAUAUUGGACAAUGGGCGCAAGCCUGAUCCAGCCAUGCCGCGUGAGUGAUGACGGCCUUCGGGUUGUAAAGCUCUUUUGUCUGGGAAGAUAAUGACUGUACCGGAAGAAUAAGCCCCGGCAAACUUCGUGCCAGCCGCCGCAGUAA